Molecule: ribosomal RNA, 484 nt
Filed under: uncultured bacterium
Lineage: Bacteria
Description: partial 16S ribosomal RNA
Rfam family: Bacterial small subunit ribosomal RNA
Source: RNAcentral
AUUGAACGCUGGCGGCAGGCCUAACACAUGCAAGUCGAGCGGAUGAAGGGAGCUUGCUCCUGGAUUCAGCGGCGGACGGGUGAGUAAUGCCUAGGAAUCUGCCUGGUAGUGGGGGGUAACGUCCGGAAACGGGCGCUAAUACCGCAUACGUCCUGAGGGAGAAAGAGGGGGAUCUUCGGACCUCACGCUAUCAGAUGAGCCUAGGUCGGAUUAGCUAGUUGGUGGGGUAAAGGCCUACCAAGGCGACGAUCCGUAACUGGUCUGAGAGGAUGAUCAGUCACACUGGAACUGAGACACGGUCCAGACUCCUACGGGAGGCAGCAGUGGGGAAUAUUGGACAAUGGGCGAAAGCCUGAUCCAGCCAUGCCGCGUGUGUGAAGAAGGUCUUCGGAUUGUAAAGCACUUUUAGUUGGGAGGAAGGGCAGUAAGUUAAUACCUUGCUGUUUUGACGGUACCAACAGAAUAAGCACCGGCUAACUUCGUG